Molecule: small RNA, 27 nt
Filed under: Bombyx mori (domestic silkworm)
Lineage: Eukaryota; Metazoa; Arthropoda; Insecta; Lepidoptera; Bombycidae
Description: ovarian small RNA-12551
Source: RNAcentral
AUGAAGGUAACGAAUCUUGUUCGCUAA